GACGAACGCUGGCGGCGUGCCUAAUUCAUGCAAGUCGAGCGGACUAAUGGGAGCUUGCUCCCGUUAGUUAGCGGCGGACGGGUGAGUAACACGUGGGCAACCUACCUGUAAGACUGGGAUAACUUCGGGAAACCGGAGCUAAUACCGGAUGACAUAAAGGAACUCCUGUUCCUUUAUUGAAAGAUGGCUUCGGCUAUCACUUACAGAUGGGCCCGCGGCGCAUUAGCUAGUUGGUGAGGUAACGGCUCACCAAGGCGACGAUGCGUAGCCGACCUGAGAGGGGGAUCGGCCACACUGGGACUGAGCCACGGCCCAGAAUCCUACGGGAGGCAGCAGUAGGGAAUCUUCCGCAAUGGACGAAAGUCUGACGGAGCAACGCCGCGUGAGCGAUGAAGGCCUUCGGGUCGUAAAGCUCUGUUGUUAGGGAAGAAUAAGUGCUAGUUGAAUAAGCUGGCACCUUGACGGUACCUAACCAGAAAGCCACGGCUAACUACGUGCCAGCCGCCGCGGUAA
This 513-nucleotide ribosomal RNA is filed under the name uncultured bacterium. Its description in RNAcentral is "partial 16S ribosomal RNA". It matches the Rfam family "Bacterial small subunit ribosomal RNA", at positions 28 to 523 of the family's 1533-position model. The record is from RNAcentral.